AGUAACGGCGAGUGAAGCGGGAUGAGCUCAAAUUUAAAAUCUGGCUGGUUUACUAGUCCGAAUUGUAGUUUAAAGAAGCGUUUUCGGUGGCAGUCUCGGUAUAAAUCCUUUGGAAUAGGGUAUCAUAGAGGGUGAGAAUCCCGUCUUUGACUGAGAAUUUGCUACUAUGUGAUACGUUUUCAAAGAGUCGAGUUGUUUGGGAAUGCAGCUCAAAAUGGGUGGUAAAUUUCAUCUAAAGCUAAAUAUUGGCGAGAGACCGAUAGCGAACAAGUACCGUGAGGGAAAGAUGAAAAGAACUUUGAAAAGAGAGUUAAACAGUGCGUGAAAUUGUUGAAAGGGAAACGCUUGAAACCAGUCAUGUGGUUGGAAAAUCAGUGUUCAAUUGGGGGGAAUGGGGGAGGUGUGGACCGCAAGGCUGCUCUUUUCUAUAUCUCUUUUGUUGGGCAUGCACUUUUUCUGCCGCAGGUCAACAUCAGUUUCUUUUGCUGGACAAAACUCUUGAGAAGGUAGCAGCUUAGGCUGUGUUAUAGCUCUGGAGCGAUACAGUGAAGGGGACUGAGGUUUUCGCAGCAUGUGCUCUCGGGCAAGGCCAAUUGGGUGCUAUGGGAUCGUUCGGGGUACAAUACAUGUAUUUUGCUUCGUGUCCUUUUCUAUACUCGUUCAAUUGAGCUC
RNAcentral lists this ribosomal RNA (672 nucleotides) under Entomortierella parvispora. Its description in RNAcentral is "eukaryotic LSU rRNA". It matches the Rfam family "Eukaryotic large subunit ribosomal RNA", at positions 82 to 620 of the family's 3401-position model. Lineage: Eukaryota; Fungi; Mortierellomycota; Mortierellomycetes; Mortierellales; Mortierellaceae. The record is from RNAcentral.